This is a long non-coding RNA of Girardinichthys multiradiatus, 945 nucleotides long. RefSeq lists it as uncharacterized. The transcript has 3 exons. The record is from RefSeq and is a predicted model, not a curated record. Lineage: Eukaryota; Metazoa; Chordata; Actinopteri; Cyprinodontiformes; Goodeidae.
UCUCCUCGUCUUCGUUGAGGGAGAGAUGAAGGGCAGCGGGCUCAGUACUGGCUCGGUAGUCAUGUUCAUGACAGGACCCUGGGUCAUCUUCAUCAGGGGAAGCCAUACCUUCUGAUCCCUUUCUCAGAUCGAUUGGUGCAUCCAAAUGCAGCACAGCCGACCUUGAGAGGACUUCAUGCAUUUGACCUGAAACCAAAGAAGUGAAUUGCUCCAACACCUCAGACUGUCAUCACUAACAUCUAAUGGGAUAUUUACGAAGCGAAGGUCAAACAUCUACCUCCCUCACAUUUGUCCUGAGUAGCUGAAGAAGUAUUUGGUGUUUUUAAAGAGACUCUGAUAAAACGUUGAAUCUCAUCAGCUCUUUAUUCUCAUAAACUCCAGGUUCAUAAAUGUUCUUCUUUGACAUCAUGAAACUCAGCGAGUUGUUUUAUCCUGUUUUUUGUUGUUUUAUCUAAACUGUUAUUUUCCUUUGCUUUGUCAUUUUCUCACAUUCACACCUCCUCAUUUACCCUUCAAAUGAUAUAUGGCUAAACAUUUAAGUUUCUAAAGUAACUUUUUAAAAAUGUAUCUAAAUUAGCACAUCAACUUCAAGCUGUUGAGAAAAGAUUUAACCUUGCAAGAACAAGCUGAAAACUAACAAAAUACGUUGGUUCUAGAAUAAAGAUAAUUCAUACAAAACAAAAUAACAUUUUGUUAGCAUUAUCAGCUACAUAUACUUAUCCAUCAAUUCAGGAAAUUCACAUUUUAAGGUAAAUAUUCCUUCAGCAUUAACAAUGUUUAAUAUUUCUGCUCAAGAUGUUUGAAAAACCAAAAUACAGACAGGAACUCAGAGGAAUCAUGAUGACAAGGAGAAUUUAAUGGCUGGACAUGAAACCAGGGUAAAAACAGCAGAAAAAACCCUGCAGAGAAUGAUGAGAACAAAGGAGCUUAAAUACUGAGGACUGA